AUGCUCCGCCGCUGACACGUUGGGCCUAACUCAACCAUCCAAUGGCCUCCGCCUCCGCCACCGCCACCGUCUCCGGCGUCGUGUUUCCCCACGCCUUCCUCUCCCACCGCUCGCCGCCGCCACAGGUCUUCGCCGUGGCCUCCUUGUUCCGCCGGGUCUCCCUGUGCGCCUCCCCUCGCUGGACCACCCACCUAGUCUCCCGCGCCGACGCCAGCGCCGAAGCUGCUGGGGAACCGGAGCCUGAGGCUGAGGCCGAGCCUGCCACUGCCUCAGCUGACGCCGAGGAAGGGGAGGCCGAGGGGGCUGUCGCGGUGGCCGAGGAAGAGGAGGCAGAGGAGCCGCCGCCGAGCAAGCCGAAGUUUAAGUUCGGCGAAAUCAUCGGGAUUCUGAACAAGCAAUUCAUUGAGGAGGCUGAGAAGGUGAAGACUGUGCCAGAUCUGAGGCCUGGCGACAUCGUUGAGCUUAGGAUGCAACGGCCCAACAAGAGGAGAUUGUCACUCUUUAAGGGAAUAAUCAUCGCAAAGCACAAAGCUGGUGUUCACACCACAAUCCGUGUCAGAAGGAUCAUUGCUGGUGUAGGAGUUGAGAUUACCUUCCCAGUGUAUUCACCCAGGAUCAAGGAGAUCACAGUAAUCAGGCACAAGAAAGUGAGGCGAGCAAAGUUGUACUACUUGAAACACAAUCUUCCCCGCUUUUCAACCUUCAAGUAAAAUCAGAUAUGACAACAGAACAGCUUCUCCCUCCACCAUUUCGAUUUCUCUUAGCACACAAUUUUCACUUCCCUGUCCAAAUCAGUGCAUUCCACUGUAUUACCUGGAUAUCAAAUGUGUAAUAUCUAUGGCUUUAUAGCAUAUUUUGGUUUGCAGUGCAAUGUUUCUUUUGUCCUUAGUGUACAAAAUCGUACUAGGACCCUCUUAUUAUGAAUUUAAUCUCGUCCUUUUAUGAUGUCCUGAAUUCUUGAGUAUACGUAUAACCAUACUCUUUCUAUUUUCAAAUAUGUGACAUUUGUCGAGCUAAUUUGUCGUGGCUCUACAGCCGGGUGGCGUAGUGCAUCCGCCUAAUCCCAGAGGGUGGUUACUCGGGGAAGUGCAAGCGAUUACUCAGAUCUUCUCAUGAAGCAAGCACUCAAGAACACUCGAGGAUUUAGAGUGGUUCGGGCCGCCGGAGCGUAAUACCCUACGUCCACUGAGAGUUGUAUUGCUCUCGUGUCUGUGGAUGAGUCUAUCCUCUGCCUCCAAGUCUUUUCCUGGACUUGAGUUCUUCUCUAACGGGCGUCUCCCUUUUAUAGCGCAAGGGAGGCGCGUACACAGGUGUUGGACCCCGACAGGUGGGCCCAACGAGGAUGUAUAGUAUACCACGAAAAAGACAUUAACAGCGCUUUGUGAAUCUCUUGCCGGAUACGCUUCAUUGCCCUGUAGACUCUCUGACCGAGGGGGGUCUUCACCUGUCCCAUCGGCGAGGUGCCCAUUGAGGCGGUGUAGGUUGCGGCGUAGACUGUUGGGUCUACCACGUAGGCGUUAUGAUACUUCGUCGCCGAGCUGUCGUGUCUAACUGGCGUUGCAGACUGACGCGCGUGGCGUGGGUGGCGCCAGCGGCUGCACCGUGCGCCUCGGUAACGCGCGAUCAAUAGUACAGUCUGGCAAAAGUCACCUCGGGCUCUACUGUGGCAGAGCGCACUUAACGCCUCUCGCAUUGAAUGCGGUAGGUGGGCGAGUCUUCCCGAGGAAGCCUCGCAGCCGCGCGCGUGCCUGCGCCUGCGAAUACGUGGCGGCUCCGAACCCCCCAAGCGGGGUGUCUGUUCCCUCCCCGCUGAGGGGUCCGGAUAGUAUAUGGGGGUCCGGGGGCCCCGGCUGUUUUGGCUGAGCGUUCCCUUCUCCGGAACACGUGGCGUCAUUGGACCCUUCCCUAGUAAGGGACGGGUCCGGAGCCGCUGACCGGGUGAGAAGGGCCUCGGACUGCGAGGGCCUGGCUGCUCAGGCCGUCAGCGCGUAGUCAAGGAUAACUACGAGGAUCUCGCCUAGACACAACAACACCUCUAGGACACAUGGCGACACCGGACCCGUCCCCGAGCGGGAAGCGGGUCCAGGACCGUUGGUCUGGUGAGAUGGAGCCGGACCCCAGGGGUCCGGCUGCUCAACCCCUUAGGGCGUAGUUACGGAUAACUACGCGAGUCUUGACACAGCAAGAGGGGUACCCUAGUCCAGAGUUAACAACAUAAUUAGUUUGUUCUAAACAUCAUAUGUUUUAAAACGAUAUUUUCCUCGUAUUUUAAAAUUGUUAAAACGGAAGGAGAGUUAAUUUGUAGUAUGUAUCUUGCUAGGUAAAGACUAGUUUUAAGCCGGCCGUAAAUCUGCUGGUCGCUACGGCCGCCUCCAUCCUACCGCAACCCACCAAUUUAUUUCCCAUCACACCCCCCCCUCUCUCUCUCCCCCCAUCCCUCUUCACCCGACCACCCGUCUCUCUCCCCCCAUCCAUCCUCACCUCACCUCCUCUGCUGAUCCUUCCCGCCGCCCCUCCCCAACCCCGCCGCGCGCUCCCUCCUCGUCACGCCCCCUCCCCUCCCGAGAGCGCCCUCCUCGUCGGCUUGACAUCGCGGUGGACCACCCCAGCAUGGUGGCAUCCGGCGUGCGCCUCGGCGAGCUGCGCCACGCCGCCAUGACGCGAGCCGCGCGGGCUCCGGGAUGGGCGCACCUGCACGACGCCCGGGUUCGCGCCACCUCGCCUUUCCUCUCAUCGAGGUUUAGGUUCUCCCUCCUCUCCCAUUCCCUUAGCGAUUCGUCCUCAUUGCUCUCAGAUCCAACGAUUUUUCACGGUGGGAACUGCAGAUCGGAGGUGGAGCGUCGAGUUGCGCGUCCUAUGGUCAGAUGCCUCACGCCGCAGUUCGAAUCGAUGGAGGUUGGGACCGGCAUCCUCGGCGUCCUCCACCUGACAGUAAGGGACGUCUCUUAUUGCAGCAAAUCAUCUCUUCUUCAUGCUAUAGUUUGAUGGUUGUUGGUGCUGGUUGGGGUGGGUCUAAAUCGGACGGAUCCCUUGCGAUGGGAUGCCUUCGGGGGAUGAGAUUUAGGGGAUUCAAUGUGGGAUCCUCACCGAAUCAGAUAUUAUUACACGCUAUCCUACUUGUUUUUAGGAUUUUUGCACCCCAUUGGUCUCUUAUUCAACCCCCAAUAGCUGUUACACAUGAAUGCUUUUGCAUUCAUUCUAUCCUACAGCUCGCAAUUGUUAGGAAGUACCAGAGUAGUGAGGUGGAUUAGUUUUUUCCUUGUAUACAUAUGCUUUUGCAUGAUUAUAAGAAGCUUAAUUUUAGCAUAGUCAUUAGCUGAAUGCAUGAAGGAGCUCAAAAUGACAAGUGACCAACAUCAGGCGUGGCAGAACAUUUUCUUUAGAUAGUUAACUAAUGCUGACAGUAGGACAACAUGUACAUACAUCCAACUUAGUAUCACAUUUCAUUCAGUAGUGAUGAUCUAUACCUUACUCCCAUUGUCUCUUUAUUUGUAGGCAACUUAUACAAAAUCAAUAAGCAAAUUAUUCAGUUCAGUUUAGCAUUUUUAUGUUUUAACUUUAGCAAAAAUGGUAUUCAUAUCACAAAAAUAAAUGCCCACUGUGUGUUAUCCAGGGAUGCUUCAAAGUAGGCAACUCAGUGCAUUUAUCUAGGAAAUAAUAUGUUAAGAACAUGGCAACUCAGUGCAUUUAUCUGGGCAUUUUUUCCUUUAUUUUUAGAUAUGCAAUUCAAUACAGCAGAAGAAUCCCUACUAGAGGAAAAACGCACAUGAUAUCCAUGUUCAGGGACAUAGGCGCUCGACGCAAAGAUCAAGAGCGAGGCCAAGAAAAGAAGAGGAGCUUGCGAUUGUCCUCAUGCCCAAGGACGAAGGCGUGGUUGUGCCAAAGCCAACAAAUGCUCCCCCUCGGUUCUGUUGAAGCCUAAGCAAGCGGUGAAAUCCGCGUCCCAGACUGAGCAUCGAUCGAAGACUUCAUCCUGACGAGCGGCAAGGAGCACGAUGAAUAUUUUCACCAGGUUGAUAUUGCAGAAGUUCUAGGCAUGGUGGCAAGAUGUUGCUUUUUCAAACAAUCAGUGUGGAGUGAAAAUCAAAGCGCCCUUGGGAGGUGAUGCCCAAAAAGGUGUGUCUAGUAGAGAGAUUUGGAUAUGCCCCCAAAAUCUUGAGGUCUUCCUGGAGGCUGCCACUCAAGUUACCAUGGUGGUCGGCUCCCAUGGUUUGUUACUCUUCUUUUCGGUUGCUCCUAACUCUUGUCUGAAGUGGAGCAAGAUGGAGCUUCACGGGUGAACAAGGACCCGAAAUAAGUACUGAUGUGUUUUGUUGAUGCACCACCUUCAAAUCGAUGACUAAUUUUGGUCCAAAAUUGUUGUGAUAUUCGCCUGGCAAUAAUCUAAAUCUAGAAUGUUUCAGUUUUGCUACAAAGACGGUAUGGUCUAGGCAUUUCAUGCCCCUUGUAAUGUUGCAUCAACACUACACUAUACGCUCCUAGGAGAAAUCUAACAGUUUUGAGGCUUGGCAUAUCAGAUACUA
Panicum virgatum (switchgrass) is the source of this 4523-nucleotide RNA transcript. It is a transcript of the gene named 50S ribosomal protein L19-2, chloroplastic-like, with no coding region annotated. The transcript is spliced from 9 exons. NCBI's taxonomy places the organism in Eukaryota, Viridiplantae, Streptophyta, Magnoliopsida, Poales, Poaceae. The record is from RefSeq and is a predicted model, not a curated record.